RNAcentral lists this long non-coding RNA (243 nucleotides) under Setaria viridis. Its description in RNAcentral is "long non-coding RNA (SVIR_LNC009746)". The record is from RNAcentral. Lineage: Eukaryota; Viridiplantae; Streptophyta; Magnoliopsida; Poales; Poaceae.
UGGUGGGAGCUCUCAACCGGUACUAAAGGGGGUCAUGGGGGGCUCCUGGGGAACUAGCCGUUAGACCUAAUACGAAUGCUCACAUUAGUACCGGGUCAAAAACCAACCAGUACUAAGGGCUAGGACAAAAGCUCAGUUUUCCAGUAGUGAUCAUGAUAAGCAUGGUUGUGUGGUUGGUGCGGGGAGAGCUUGGCGAAAGCCAUGACCAACUUGGUGUUGGUAGUGAUGACAGCAUCAUUGUGG